CAAGCAACCAUCGAUUUUUAAUUAUAUAAACUAAUAGCAUGUGAUGAGUUCAUUGUGAAACAAGCUAGGAAAAUAAUGGCUUCAAAGAAAUGUUCAAUAAUUUUUGUAGUUAUCUUUUUCUGUAUGUUGAAUUUUUCAUCCAUGGCAUUAGCAAGGAACAUUAAUGAUGCUUCUCAACUUUAUUCUUUUUCAGAUGAAAAGGGUUUGAAUAAGAGAGUUCUUGUGGAAGAAAAACGGAGAUCUCCAUGUAAGAGUGGAAGAAGUGGUCAAGUGAGAGAGGCUAGAGAUAAUCCACGUUGCCAUAAUUUUCUAUGAAUGAUAUGGAUGUGUUUGGUUGUGUAAUUAUUUGUAAAUUUAAAGUUGGAGAAAAAACAAAAUAAAGAAUUGUUUGCUUAGUUUGAUUUAUGUCUAUGCAAAUUAAACUAAUAAAACUUAUGUAGUGCUUUUUU
Molecule: long non-coding RNA, 449 nt
Organism: Lathyrus oleraceus (garden pea)
Lineage: Eukaryota; Viridiplantae; Streptophyta; Magnoliopsida; Fabales; Fabaceae
Exons: 2
Source: RefSeq, a predicted model, not a curated record